RNAcentral lists this ribosomal RNA (674 nucleotides) under uncultured bacterium. RNAcentral describes it as "bacterial SSU rRNA". It matches the Rfam family "Bacterial small subunit ribosomal RNA", at positions 579 to 1253 of the family's 1533-position model. The record is from RNAcentral.
UUGAAAAAGUUGGUGGUGAAAUCCCAGAGCUUAACUCUGGAACUGCCAUCAAAACUUUUCAGCUAGAGUAUGAUAGAGGAAAGCAGAAUUUCUAGUGUAGAGGUGAAAUUCGUAGAUAUUAGAAAGAAUACCAAUUGCGAAGGCAGCUUUCUGGAUCAUUACUGACACUGAGGAACGAAAGCAUGGGUAGCGAAGAGGAUUAGAUACCCUCGUAGUCCAUGCCGUAAACGAUGUGUGUUAGACGUUGGAAAUUUAUUUUCAGUGUCGCAGCGAAAGCGAUAAACACACCGCCUGGGGAGUACGACCGCAAGGUUAAAACUCAAAUGAAUUGACGGGGACCCGCACAAGUAGUGGAGCAUGUGGUUUAAUUCGAAGAUACGCGCAGAACCUUACCAACACUUGACAUGUUCGUCGCGACUCUAAGAGAUUAGAGUUUUCGGUUCGGCCGGACGAAACACAGGUGCUGCAUGGCUGUCGUCAGCUCGUGUCGUGAGAUGUUGGGUUAAGUCCCGCAACGAGCGCAACCCUCACUUUUAGUUGCCAUCAUUAAGUUGGGCACUCUGAAAGAACUGCCAGUGAUAAGCUGGAGGAAGGUGGGGAUGACGUCAAGUCCUCAUGGCCCUUACGUGUUGGGCUACACACGUGCUACAAUGGUAUCUACAACAGGAAGCAAG